GUCUACGGCCAUGCCACCCUGAACGAGUCCGAUCCUGUCUGAUCUUGGAAGCUAAUCAGGGUCGGGCCUGAUUAGUACUUGGAUGGGAGACCACCUAGGAAGACCAGGUGCUGUAGGCA
RNAcentral lists this ribosomal RNA (119 nucleotides) under Pteropus alecto (black flying fox). Lineage: Eukaryota; Metazoa; Chordata; Mammalia; Chiroptera; Pteropodidae. The record is from RNAcentral.